This 2033-nucleotide ribosomal RNA is filed under the name Triticum aestivum (bread wheat). Its description in RNAcentral is "partial small subunit ribosomal RNA". The record is from RNAcentral. Lineage: Eukaryota; Viridiplantae; Streptophyta; Magnoliopsida; Poales; Poaceae.
GGGCGUUCGCUUUUGCUGCAGCGCAGCCGGUAGUGUUCCCUCACAUCUCGAGACCCGCAUCGUCCUUCCCUCUCCUCCUCCUUUCUCCUCGUCAGCCACCAAUCCGCCUCCUCGUAGCUCCGUUUACUCCACCGAUUUCUCUCCUGCUGCCGGCCUCCCAGCCCCCCACCUCACAACGGCAUUUCCUGAGGAGCAGCGCGAGCGAGGCCAAUAGGCGGACGGAGCGGAUCGUGGGCACGCUGGAUCGUCAUCUGAUUUGGCACCUUUUGGAUCCGCGCCGCUGCGUGCGAUGGUUCUAAAUCAGUGCAGGUCGUCGCCGCGGGAUAGUAGGGCCGGCGGAUUCUUCGCAUCUGGGGCUGGCGGGCAGGGGAGGGUCAGGAGGCUGGCAUGACUUGCUAACGAGCAGAGAGGUCGGCGGCGCUCUCGCUUUGACCGCUUUGCUCUCUUUCUCCUCCUCGCUGUGUUGCGCGCGUGCUCUCUCUCUCUCUCUCUCUCUCUCUCUCUCUCUCUCUCUCUCUCUCUCUCUCUCUCUCUCUCUCUCUCUCUCUCUCUCUCUUCUUCGAUUGGAUUGCCUCUCCUUCACCGGUGGUGUGCUCUCGUCGGCUGCAAUUGCGUCCAUACUCUGGACGAGACUGCUGGUUGAUUAUCUUGCCAUCCUCUCCUGCGUCCACUGUCUCGCCGUUCUGCCUUCGGCGAUUAAUUGAGCUGGUUCUAGGAUCUCCUUUGUUGCUGCAUCUUGGUCUCCUGCUUUGCUGUAACUAUGUUCUGCUGCUUGAGGAUGGAGCAGCAGGCAUAGAUGAAAUCUACAGCCAAUUUCUAUUGGUUGCGGCAUCUUCCGCAUAGUAACUCUACAAAACAGCCUGCCAGCAUUGAUUCUUGCAAUAAAAAACAUAAGUCUGGCAUCAUUCAUAAAAAGCUUAUAGACUUAGAUAAUUUCUUAAUCCUGCACUGGUUCUCACCAGUGAGAUUGUAGAUGUGGUAUAUUGAGAAUACCAAUGUAAUUCACUGGUCCAAAAGCUCCAUUUCUUAAUGUGUUUUUUGCAGAAUGCUGCCAGUAAUGUUUUUCUUUUGCUCAGUCUAUCUCACUACAGAAAAUGUACAACAUGUCUGACAAACAUAUUUAUUAGUAGAUAUGAUUUUGGAUCUGAACUUUUCCCAGUCUGCAGCUCACAUUGUGGUAUGGUCAUAGUACAACAAAAGGAAAGGAUGUUUAAACUUUUUUUGGGCGUCAUACAUGAAAAGUAUCUUUAUUUCCAUCGAGCUUAAUUACUAAGAAAUUGUUACCACUAUUAAUAAACCUACAUGUUCUGAAAGUUCGGUCUCUUGCUCUCUUUGCUUAUGAAUCGGACACUUUCCCUUUCUUUAGUCCUUCCACGGUUCCACCUCACUUUGACUUCAUCCUUUGAUGGUGUUUGUAGGUAUGUAAGAGUGGUCAUAAUGUUACUUAAAGGAGGCCUCAACUUGCACCAAAUACAUGGGCAUGUGCAACAGCAACUUAUGUAGCUUGUCCAACAUCGCCUGAGAUGGUUUGGGCAUAUUCAGCGCAGGCCUCCAGAAGCUCCAGUGCAUAGCGGAUGGCUAAAGCGUGCGGAGAAUGUCAAGAGAGGGCGGGGUAGACCGAAUUUAACAUGGAAGGAGUCCGUUAAGAAAGACCUGAAGGAUUGGAGUAUCACCAAAGAGCUAGCUAUGGACAGGGGUGUGUGGAAGCAUGCUAUCCAUGUGCCAGAGCCAUGAGUUGGUUGCGAUAUCUUAUGGAUUUCACCUCUAGCCUACCCCAACUUGUUUGGGGACUAAAGGCUUUGUUGUUGUUGUUGUUGUUGUUGUUGUUGUUUUACGGUUUGUACGAUCCCUAAAGAUGGUGCUCCAUUGUUCUGUUAUCAAGAUUUGUUCCCUCCUUUCUUACUAGCUGAUACGUGAUGACCGUUUGCAUGGAGGGUUAUGUUAACUAUGUUCUUUGCAUAUAUAUUUAUGGUUCAAACUGUUUGUUGGGUAUUUAGUUUACACAUUGUGUCCUGAGAAUCUUGAUAUCUAGC